AGGAAAAUACUACCCUGCUCUGUGGUCAUGGGGAAAGACAUGUCAGUCUCCCAAGGCAAGUCAAUAGAGCAAAACUUAAGUCAUUGAAAAAUGCCAUUUUUUAAUACACAAAAAUCAAACUUUGCAACAGAGAUGUGAGGCAGUGCACAGAGCAGUUGUAUCUUUCAGAAAUCUAACUGAACACAAAUAGCCAGGAGUCCAUGUACUAACUUAAAGCAGCAAUUAUACCACUUCUCUCUCCGUUCUUCUCCUCGCUCUUCCCUGAAACGCUACAACCAAAACUGACAGCACACCACAUCUUCCCAAGCCUCAGUAUUUACUCACACAUAGAGGAGAACAUGGGAGGCUUUUUAAAAUCCCCCUGACAACUGGUACAAGAAAACUGUUAACUAUUAGUGGAAUGUCCUCUCAUAAAAUGCCAAACAGUCUUGUGUUUUUCAGGUCAAAAGCUAACAAGAUGAACUGUGAGCUCUUAUUACUUUUCUGUUCAUCCACAGUAAAAGUAUAGAGUGCUUUAAAAAUGUUGAGAACAUGACAGUGAUUGACAAGAAAAGAAGGCAUGUAAGGAGAUACUGUGCUGAAGAAAUUUUAAUUAUUUUAAUUAUUUUUGUAAAGCAAAAUUCAUACUGAUAGAGGUUCUUGCAUUUGCAGUGUCAGCCAGGAGCCAGGGCUGUUUUCUCAACCAAGACCCUUAUACACUCUGCCUUGCACCCUUAUGAAAGAACACCUAAUUUGGUGUCUUGCAGGAUUAUAAUGUGAAUUCCUUAGUUAAUUGCUGAAGACGCUGCUGUUCCCCUGCCCUAUGCUUAGUGCACUGAUUUGCAUGCUUACAAGACAAAAGCAAAUUGCAGAACAUAGAGAUUUGAAUGUAAACCCAUUGCUAAACUUUGGCCUGGAAGCAUCAAGUUGUUCUUCUGAUCAUUCACAUUUACAGAAGGAACUGUAGGUAAAAGCACAUGUAUGCAACUGUGAAGCCUUGGAUAUCCUCUGGAGAUGGAUGCAGGCAGGGCAUUCCAGCUUGGAAGUCCCCAAGAGCAGCAUAACAAGUGUAUAACCAUUAUGUCCUUCUACUUAUUCUGGCCUUGUAUAAGAUGAAGCUGUGUGUCAUAUACUUAAUAUUAAAUGGACUGAAAAGGUCACUUGGUUUCUCUUUAAUUC
Molecule: long non-coding RNA, 1158 nt
Organism: Corapipo altera (White-ruffed manakin)
Lineage: Eukaryota; Metazoa; Chordata; Aves; Passeriformes; Pipridae
Exons: 3
Source: RefSeq, a predicted model, not a curated record